UACGUAGGGGGCGAGCGUUGUCCGGAUUUAUUGGGCGUAAAGAGCUCGUAGGCGGCUGUUCGAGUCGGGUGUGAAAUCCUGAGGCUUAACCUUGGGUCUGCAUUCGAUACUGGGCGGCUUGAGUUCGGUAGGGGAGACUGGAAUUCCUGGUGUAGCGGUGAAAUGCGCAGAUAUCAGGAGGAACACCGGUGGCGAAGGCGGGUCUCUGGGCCGAUACUGACGCUGAGGAGCGAAAGCGUGGGGAGCGAACAGG
Molecule: ribosomal RNA, 253 nt
Filed under: uncultured bacterium
Lineage: Bacteria
Description: partial 16S ribosomal RNA
Rfam family: Bacterial small subunit ribosomal RNA
Source: RNAcentral